ACUCCUAGCUUUGGCGCGCACUCGGCACGCAUGCGCACGCCCUCUGGGCGCGCCGGCUUCCCCGCGUGCUCCAGUGGCCCUCCAACGUCUCCCAGCAUCCGUUGCGGGCGUCCAACCCAGGUGAUGCGCAGGCGCGAGGAGAGCGCAUGCCCACGGAAUCGCGGCCAUGGCGGCGCCCGAGAGUCCGUUACUUAGAAGAACCAGAAUCCAGAAUAAGUGUAUAGAGGAGCCCUCUUGUCUCCCAAGAAGCUGAAGAUCUGGGAUCCUACUCCACACAUCAGUGAAUGAGGUUCAAGGAUUAACCAGAAAGAAGCAGAGGAGGCACAGCCUUUUCUUCCUGUUUCCUGUAGACCCCAGAGCCAACAUCAAGAUAUCACCAGUUUCCAUCACCUGCUUUGUCCAGACCCUCACUGUACGGUGUGUAACAGAGUGGCUACAAAAGAGACUUCAUUCACUGUGACAUCUGCCCAUUCAAAAACUCAUCCAAGAGGCCAAAAGUCAGCCUCUUUGCAUGUGCCAUCUCCACCUCCCCCUUCUACUGUCUCACUUAACCAUGUUGCUUCUUUACCUGAUUUACUGUCCCCCGACCCACCAGCUGACUCAGUACCAUCAGAGCCUAUUCCUCCCUUGGCUUCAAAACUCCCAGUGGACCCUUUCCCACCCCAACCUGUUGCUCUUUGCCCUCCCACACCA
Molecule: long non-coding RNA, 693 nt
Filed under: Oryctolagus cuniculus (rabbit)
Lineage: Eukaryota; Metazoa; Chordata; Mammalia; Lagomorpha; Leporidae
Description: lncRNA (ENSOCUG00000032851.1)
Source: RNAcentral